GCUCGGGAAUCCAUUAAGAAUCGGACAGCUGUCAGCAGAAUUCAGUGAUAUCUGUGAUGUGAGAAAAAAAAAGGCUGCAAAUGAGACGCCCUAAGAAAGAAACUACCGCCUCAGGUGGUGACUCAUCUAUAGUCCGCUGAAAAAGUUAAUUAUUUCCCUGGCGUGCUUAUUACAACGGCUCACAGUGCUACAUUCUUAUGGAUACAGGAUAAAAAUAUUCGGCACACCCAGAAGCCAAGUGCCAUAACAGGAGUCUUUUCUAGGUGAGAGACAAGCUGAAUAAAUUAAAUCAUAAAUCAAAAAUAAAGCAGUAGUCCUUCUUUUACAGUGUGAGAAAACUU
RNAcentral lists this long non-coding RNA (341 nucleotides) under Lepisosteus oculatus (spotted gar). RNAcentral describes it as "lncRNA (ENSLOCG00000021504.1)". The record is from RNAcentral. Lineage: Eukaryota; Metazoa; Chordata; Actinopteri; Semionotiformes; Lepisosteidae.